Molecule: long non-coding RNA, 367 nt
Organism: Rhea pennata
Lineage: Eukaryota; Metazoa; Chordata; Aves; Rheiformes; Rheidae
Exons: 3
Source: RefSeq, a predicted model, not a curated record
AUUUAUUUCCCUUUGCCUAAGGAACGGGCUGUGCUGCGGCUCCCAUUGCCUAGGGAAAAAGCCCGGAUGUGAACUUUUGGCAGGGAUGCUGGAUGGCUGCAAGUAAGAGGGGAGAUAGCCUGUGAAGCUGUGCUUGAAGGAGGAAGCCGGAAGGCCAUUUCAGGCAAGACAAGCUCCAGGAUGUGAGCAGUCGUAAGGGGACAUUGCUUAUGACUCUUGAGUGGCUGGCCAGGCUGACUAAGCACACUUCUGGAUCCCAUCUAGUGUUUAGAAUCCCAAUGAGCUAGACGCUGCGUGUCCAGAUGUGAACAGUUACUCAUUUUUAAGCCACCAGUAUGAACUAUCUUAGGAUCAAUCACAGCUCCAU